GGACCAACCAAAGAUUGCCACGUAGUCAGGGUAACGGCCCAUAAAGGAUAAAGCCCAUUAGAUCCACAAGUCAAAAGAACAAUCGAAGUGGUUAUCACCAUAAGGAGAAUCCGAAGUGACUGCACCUCGACACGAGUCCGGAGACGAAGUCAUGGUUAAGUCGGUCCAAGGACAUUUGGGCCAAAAGGCGAGGCCCAUGAAGAUCAUAAUCAACU
This 215-nucleotide long non-coding RNA is filed under the name Arabidopsis lyrata. RNAcentral describes it as "long non-coding RNA (ALYR_LNC000245)". The record is from RNAcentral. Lineage: Eukaryota; Viridiplantae; Streptophyta; Magnoliopsida; Brassicales; Brassicaceae.